Molecule: long non-coding RNA, 884 nt
Organism: Bombus terrestris (buff-tailed bumblebee)
Lineage: Eukaryota; Metazoa; Arthropoda; Insecta; Hymenoptera; Apidae
Exons: 2
Source: RefSeq, a predicted model, not a curated record
UUGUAUGUAAGAUUUAUUUCACAUAGGUUAUAGAACUGUUCUGCUCGAUAAAGUCAAAGAUGAAAAUCAAAAAAAAAAAUCAAAGAUGAUUCUAUUAAUAUACAAAGAUAACUUUUCUUAUAAAACAUCUGAUUUAAGAUGUUGACUUUUUAAGAUACAAAAAAGUAUUCAUAGAAGUAUCAUUACACAAAUCAAUAUAUAUAUAUAUGGAUAUUUAACUUAAAUACGAUAAAUACGAUAGAUACGAUAAAUAUAUUAUAUUAGUCUAAUAAUUCGACAAGCUAUAGUAGGCCAACUGUUGUUGACGAUCAAUUGCAAGUAAUUAAGUUAGGUGAUACACAGUAUGUAAAUAGGAUAAAGUGAAAUGUAUUAAACGUAAAGAAUAAACAAAUACAGUACCGAAAAAGAUAGCAGGUAGUCCAUUUUUGCCUACACCAAGAGGCACUUGGCACACCGGAAGUUUUAAAACAUUAAAAAGACACCAAUAACCAAAAUUAAAUGGUCUUAAAUAAGCUGUAUAAUGAUAACCAGUUUGAAAAGGUGAAGAUGGAUAAAUUAGUAUACCAUUAUGCUUCAAUUUAUCCUAAAAAUAAAAGUAUAAUUGCAGCACAAUACAAACGGAAGCAAGUAGUAUGGUGUACUGUCAAGUGCAUUUGCCAAACUUGCUGCAUGCAGAGAUUAGAGUAAAAAAUAUUUACUUUAUAUUAUAUAAUUACAUUAUAUAAGUCAUGAUUAAAUAAUAAUAAAAUUAUAUUAAACAAGAAUUUACCAUUAAAUAUUGUUUCAUAUUUGUUGUUACAUUCAUUGCCCAUUCAGCAUCUUCUCGAGGGAAUAUGUCCUCAUCAAUUAGUUUCAGAAUAGCAGCUAACGUUAAGUCUGAUCUC